GAUGAACGCUGGCGGCGUGCCUAAUACAUGCAAGUCGAGCGAACAGAUAAGGAGCUUGCUCCUUUGACGUUAGCGGCGGACGGGUGAGUAACACGUGGGUAACCUACCUAUAAGACUGGAAUAACUCCGGGAAACCGGGGCUAAUGCCGGAUAACAUUUAGAACCGCAUGGUUCUAAAGUGAAAGAUGGUUUUGCUAUCACUUAUAGAUGGACCCGCGCCGUAUGAGCUAGUUGGUAAGGUAACGGCUUACCAAGGCAACGACACGUAGCCGACCUGAGAGGGGGACCGGCCACAAUGCGACUGAGGGAGGGACCAGAGUGCUACGGUAGGCAGGGGGGGAAAACAUGGCGCAACAGGGCGACGUGGGAGGUAGCGAUGUUGGGUUCGGAAAGACGUUUUAUGGGGGAAAAAAAGAUGUGUAAGGAGCUGUGCAGUUCGUGACGGUACUUAAUAAAAAAGCACCGGCUAACUACGUG
Molecule: ribosomal RNA, 477 nt
Filed under: uncultured bacterium
Lineage: Bacteria
Description: partial 16S ribosomal RNA
Rfam family: Bacterial small subunit ribosomal RNA
Source: RNAcentral